CUCAGGAGAAGAAGACCGCCUGUGAGCGCUAUAAGGAGGUGUAUAUGGAGCUGAGUGGGAUGAAGUCUCGCAGUGAGCGGGAGAUCGAGACCCUGCGGGAGCACCUCAGACUCGCCAUGGCCGCGCUGCAGGAGGGACAGUCGCUGGGCAACAGUCUGGCCGACUGAGAGGGAGAGGGAGAGUUUUUCAGCCACGCUGGCUCUUUGGGAGAUGGUCCCUGAUGUCUACAGGCUUACGUUUUUGGAUCCAGCGUGGAAAACUGAGAGAGUGCCUUAGCCUCCGUUUCAUCAGCCAAUGGGAAGCCAAGACUGGUACCAGCUGAUCGUCACCGGGGGCCUUUUAGUUUAGCGGUUUUUACGUCGUCUUCCCGUUCUUCUGUCUGCCUUUGAGAACAGAUGUGGAGCCGCCCGCUGUGCGCCUGGAGUCCGUGAUUGUAGCGGAGUUUGCGAAGCUCCGAUAGUGGUGGUCAAGCAGGAGAGCCCCAGCUUCAGGUGUUCGGUGAGGUCAAAGUAUCGGUUUGGGGCAAAGAGGCAAUCUGUGAAUUUUCAAUGUUGCAUCAAACCCUCUUUGUUUUUGGUUUUUUUUAAAAGUCUAAUUUCUCCCUGCAGGCCUGACACAAGGCCCGUCUCGCUGUUGUUCCCCUGUGUGGCCCAGGUGGCCGGACAGGUGCACACGCUCCUCUCUGGGGCUGGUGGGCAGCUCUCCCCACUACAGGCUCCUCCAGGCCAGCUCUCGCCCUCAGGGUCUCAGGCCCACCGCCAGGAGAGCUGGUCACCAGCUACUAACCAGGUGGUUGUGAAGGCCAUGGACAGGGCAUGUACUGGCCAUGGACUGGCAACAAUCUGGUUGGAAACUACUAAAGGAUAGGUCACCAACUACUGGUGAACAAGUCAUGAAUGACCAACAGUCUGGUUGGUAACUACUAAUGAACAGGUCAUGAACUACUAAUGAACAGCUCGUGAAGUGCUCAUGGACUACUGACGAUCUGGUUAUUAAUGAACGAACUGGUCCUGCACUCUUAAUGAACGGGUCCUGAACUACUAAUGGACGUGUUGGGAACUGGGAUCCGGGGAGACGGACUGAUUUGGGGAGAGCACACGGGAAUGAGGUAAACUCAAAGGGGCCCGUGCGCUACACGCUGGGCAGCCCCCCCCUGUCAGUGACACACACUGGACGGGCGACCCCACAAACUGCACUUUUAGUACGAUGGGUGGAUGGACAAGAGGGGCCCCAACAUAUUUGUAUAGAUUUUAAUUUCGCUGCUCUGGGGAGUUUUAGAUCAGACUUUGAUUUGGCUUUUUUAGAAGACCGCAAUUCCUUACAGACAGACCGGAAAUGUGAGACAAGUCCGUGCACAGCCAGUCCUUGCACCUGAGCUUCCUGUUACUGAGCAUUAAACCCUGGAAAACCACUACUGGAUGAAGUUGUUAAGGGGAGAGAGGGGUGUAUGGGGCUGUGCAGGACUGGGGUGGCUGUGGAGGUCGGGCACAGGGCUGGGAAUGUGUCACGAGGCCUGACGCUGCCCUGGUGUGACAGAGUGACGUUUGUGAAGAACAGGACGAGUGACCUUGGUUCGCUUAAAGAGAGGUGGGGGGGAUGUAUUUUUAAAAAGAUGUGAAGAAAAACAGGACUUGUGGAGUGUUAAGGUGAAACCGUUUAGCGUGAGAGAAGAGGAGGAGAGUUUUUCUUAACGGAAUUAUUAAGCGGGAGGGGGGAGUGUUUUUCAAGAUCUUGACCAAAAAGGUAAAAUGUCUGUUUUUUUUUUUAAAAGAAUCUCCUUGUUUUUUUUUAAAUGUUUUUAGAGGUUAUGUCCUGUUUGGUCAGUGCAGUCCUGCUCCAGACUGUACUGCCUUUACUGUAAAGUGCCCUUUACUGUAACCCUGCCCUGUGUGCUGGGCAGGGACUGUAGGUUUACACAUGCCUGGCUCUCCCAGUCUGUCAGCUAUGCUCUCUAGAGUCUCCCUCCCUCCAUCCUUCUGUUUGUGUCUCCGGUCCUCAGCCGUUACCUCCUCUGGCUUGAUGUGGUUCCUCAGGGGUUAAUGCAGAAUCCCUGGAGCAAUUAAGAUAGGUCCUAAAACAGACCCUAGAGACACACCUAAUACUGAAAGAUUAAUUUAAGCCCUACAACAUAUCAUAGAGAGAUGUAAUAAAAAUAAAUUAAUAUAGAUCCUAGAACGGACCAGAGCCAUAACUUUACAGAUGAACACAAGCCCUCUUAUAGACCCUAGACCCUGACAGAGCUCAGCACAAGGUUUAAAUCUGGCCCAGAGUUCAUAGCUGACAGCCAGAGGAGGAGGAUGGAGGGAGACGGAAAGCAAGGCAGGGGAGAGGAAGAGUGGGGAUACUUGGUGCUCUCACACAGCCGUCCCUGACCCGGAUCGGCUGUUUGGGAAAGGUCCGGCCCUGCUCGGCGGUGCUGCUCUGACAGCCCAGGAUGGGGCUGGAUAACCUGGAGUCGCCCUGGGGGCUGUGCUUCUCCAGCUGGGGCAGACCUGCGUGCUCCACCCCACCCAUGAGGAGCGAUUCCUUGCCAGCGAACACGUGAACGUUUUCCCAGUAACCGCGGCGUGCGCCAGCGCUCGAUGGGUGCUGUGAGGGUUUCGGAAGGCCCAGAUCAAGCUCGCCGGCCGUAGCUGGACCUGACCGGGACCCUCCCCGAGCGGAGAAGCGUUUACACCGCCGGAGUAGAGCAGGAGUGAGACCUGAUCAGAAACGGCAGUGUGAACGCCUUGGACCGAGUUCGGUUUGUCUUGGUGGCGUUUGUCGUGCAGCAGUCGGUGAUGCUUCAGUGAGCCAGCAGAUCUGUGUUUUGGGAGGGUUAACAGGUCAGUCUCGUACAACUGGAUUCAUACCUUUUAUUAUUAUUGACAGAGUGUUACAUUUUUUUAUAUUUAAGUACAUAUCUAUAUAUAAAGUAUCAAUGUUUUGCAAUCAAUAAAAUUAUAGCAAAAGUA
Lepisosteus oculatus (spotted gar) is the source of this 2954-nucleotide non-coding RNA. NCBI's taxonomy places the organism in Eukaryota, Metazoa, Chordata, Actinopteri, Semionotiformes, Lepisosteidae. The record is from RefSeq and is a predicted model, not a curated record.